RNAcentral lists this ribosomal RNA (471 nucleotides) under uncultured bacterium. Its description in RNAcentral is "partial 16S ribosomal RNA". It matches the Rfam family "Bacterial small subunit ribosomal RNA", at positions 28 to 507 of the family's 1533-position model. The record is from RNAcentral.
GACGAACGCUGGCGGCGUGCUUAACACAUGCAAGUCGAACGAUGAAGCCUAGCUUGCUAGGUGGAUUAGUGGCGGACGGGUGAGUAAUACGUGAGUAACCUACCUUUAACUCUGGGAUAAGCCCGGGAAACUGGGUCUAAUACCGGAUACGACCAAUCUCCGCAUGGGGUGUUGGUGGAAAGCGUUAUGUAGUGGUUAUAGAUGGGCUCACGGCCUAUCAGCUUGUUGGUGAGGUAACGGCUCACCAAGGCGACGACGGGUAGCCGGCCUGAGAGGGUGACCGGCCACACUGGGACUGAGACACGGCCCAGACUCCUACGGGAGGCAGCAGUGGGGAAUAUUGCACAAUGGGCGCAAGCCUGAUGCAGCGACGCCGCGUGAGGGAUGACGGCCUUCGGGUUGUAAACCCCUGUUAGCAGGGAAGAAGAGAGAUUGACGGUACCUGCAGAGAAAGCGCCGGCUAACUACGUG